CCUACGGGCGGCAGCAGUGGGGAAUAUUGGACAAUGGGGGGAACCCUGAUCCAGCCAUGCCGCGUGUGUGAAGAAGGCCCUCGGGUUGUAAAGCACUUUCAGUGAGGAAGAACGCCUGGUGGUGAAUACCCAUCAGGAAAGACAUCACUCACAGAAGAAGCACCGGCUAACUCCGUGCCAGCAGCCGCGGUAAUACGGAGGGUGCGAGCGUUAAUCGGAAUUACUGGGCGUAAAGCGCGCGUAGGUGGCUUGAUAAGCCGGUUGUGAAAGCCCCGGGCUCAACCUGGGAACUGCAUCCGGAACUGUCAAGCUAGAGUGCAGGAGAGGAAGGUAGAAUUCCCGGUGUAGCGGUGAAAUGCGUAGAGAUCGGGAGGAAUACCAGUGGCGAAGGCGGCCUUCUGGACUGACACUGACACUGAGGUGCGAAAGCGUGGGUAGCAAACAGGAUUAGAUACCCUAGUAGUC
Molecule: ribosomal RNA, 465 nt
Filed under: Vreelandella stevensii
Lineage: Bacteria; Pseudomonadati; Pseudomonadota; Gammaproteobacteria; Oceanospirillales; Halomonadaceae
Description: partial 16S ribosomal RNA
Rfam family: Bacterial small subunit ribosomal RNA
Source: RNAcentral